UACGAAGGGGGCUAGCGUUGUUCGGAAUCACUGGGCGUAAAGGGCGCGUAGGCGGCUUUGUAAGUCGGGGGUGAAAGCCUGUGGCUCAACCACAGAAUUGCCUUCGAUACUGCAUGGCUUGAGACCGGAAGAGGUAAGUGGAACUGCGAGUGUAGAGGUGAAAUUCGUAGAUAUUCGCAAGAACACCAGUGGCGAAGGCGGCUUACUGGUCCGGUUCUGACGCUGAGGCGCGAAAGCGUGGGGAGCAACAGG
RNAcentral lists this ribosomal RNA (252 nucleotides) under uncultured bacterium. RNAcentral's name for it is "partial 16S ribosomal RNA". It matches the Rfam family "Bacterial small subunit ribosomal RNA", at positions 524 to 775 of the family's 1533-position model. The record is from RNAcentral.